Non-coding RNA from Macaca mulatta (Rhesus monkey), 73 nucleotides. Lineage: Eukaryota; Metazoa; Chordata; Mammalia; Primates; Cercopithecidae. The record is from Rfam.
GGCAGCAUGACUCAGAAGAGAAAAUACAACGGGUGGGUACAAUCAGACCUGGGUUCAAAUCCCAGUGCUACCA